UGGGGAAUUUUGGACAAUGGGCGCAAGCCUGAUCCAGCCAUGCCGCGUGUCUGAAGAAGGCCUUCGGGUUGUAAAGGACUUUUGUCAGGGAAGAAAAGGCUGUUGCUAAUAUCGACAGCUGAUGACGGUACCUGAAGAAUAAGCACCGGCUAACUACGUGCCAGCAGCCGCGGUAAUACGUAGGGUGCGAGCGUUAAUCGGAAUUACUGGGCGUAAAGCGAGCGCAGACGGUUACUUAAGCAGGAUGUGAAAUCCCCGGGCUCAACCUGGGAACUGCGUUCUGAACUGGGUGACUAGAGUGUGUCAGAGGGAGGUAGAAUUCCACGUGUAGCAGUGAAAUGCGUAGAGAUGUGGAGGAAUACCGAUGGCGAAGGCAGCCUCCUGGGAUAACACUGACGUUCAUGCUCGAAAGCGUGGGUAGCAAACAGGAUUAGAUACCCUGGUAGUCCACGCCCUAAACGAUGUCAAUUAGCUGUUGGGCAACUUGAUUGCUUAGUAGCGAAGCUAACGCGUGAAAUCGACCGCCUGGGGAGUACGGUCGCAAGAUUA
Molecule: ribosomal RNA, 549 nt
Filed under: uncultured bacterium
Lineage: Bacteria
Description: bacterial SSU rRNA
Rfam family: Bacterial small subunit ribosomal RNA
Source: RNAcentral